Molecule: transfer RNA, 69 nt
Filed under: Rattus norvegicus (Norway rat)
Lineage: Eukaryota; Metazoa; Chordata; Mammalia; Rodentia; Muridae
Rfam family: tRNA
About the family: Transfer RNA (tRNA) molecules are approximately 80 nucleotides in length.
Source: Rfam by way of RNAcentral
GGGGGUUUAGCUCAGUGGUAGAGCGCUUGCCUAGCAAGUACAAGGCCCUGGGUUCGGUCCCCAGCUCCG